Molecule: ribosomal RNA, 505 nt
Filed under: uncultured bacterium
Lineage: Bacteria
Description: bacterial SSU rRNA
Rfam family: Bacterial small subunit ribosomal RNA
Source: RNAcentral
ACUGGCAGCGUGGAUUAGGCAUGCAAGUCGAACGGGAUCGCCUGGAUAGCAAUAUCGGGGGUGAGAGUGGCGGAUUGGGGAGGAGCACGUGAGCAACCUGCCCUGGAGAUGUGGAAAACCUCUGGAAACGGAGGCUAAUACAGAAUGUGGCGCCCCAUGGCAUCAUGGGAGCGCCGAAGGGGGCCGCAAGGCUCCCGCUCCGGGAUGGGCUCGCGCACCAUCAGCUAGUUGGCGGGGUAACGGCCCACCAAGGCCUACGGUUAGCUGGUCUGAGAGGAUGACCCAGCCCCACUGGGACUGAGAUACUGCCCAGACUCCUACGGGAGGCUGCAGUCGAGGAUCAUUCGCAAUGGACGGAAGUCUGACGAUGCGACGCUGCGUGGAGGAAUGAAGGCCUUCGGGUCGUAAACUCCUGUCAUGAGGGAAGAGGCGAGGGAAGCUAAUACCUUCUUUAGUUGACUGUACCUCAAGAGGAAGCGACGGCUAACUCUGUGCCAGCCGCCGC